GGUGCUAUAGUGUAGUGGUUAUCACUUGGGAUUUUGAUCUUCGCAUUCCCAAAACCCAGGUUCGAACCCUGGUAGCACCU
Earliella scabrosa is the source of this 80-nucleotide non-coding RNA. NCBI's taxonomy places the organism in Eukaryota, Fungi, Basidiomycota, Agaricomycetes, Polyporales, Polyporaceae. The record is from the annotation of a GenBank genome assembly.